ACUGUUUAAAAGUAAUAUUAAUUUCUCUAACAUGUGAUAUAAGAGGUAGUAACACUCUUUAUAAGGUAUUACUUGGAUAAAACCGAAAUGUAUUGCAUCAACAUCCUAAUAAUACCAAGCUUGGAAACUCAUGGGUCCUUGUGUAGUGCUUCAGGACUGCUUACCUAAUUUGGGAUAAACAGUGCUAAGGUUCAAUAGUAGUUGAGGAUAAGGAAGCUUUUGGCUUCUAGAGCUAUUUUGAGAUACAUGUGAGGUUACAAGAUAGCUUUGCCAAAAGGUUAUGUAGAGUUUUAAAAUUGCUCUCACAUUCUAGACCUAUCUUAAGAAAACUAUGAGGUUUCAAGCAUGUAUUAGGUCUUAAUAAAGCUCUAAAACUAUGGUAUUAGUCUUUUCUUUUUUUUCUUAAUGUUAUGUUGCACUAAGAUACAAAUUUGUUGCCCUAAAAUUUAAUUUAGUAUCGAUUUUAUUUUACUUAGUUAUAUGGUAAAUUUUGUACCAAGUAU
Molecule: long non-coding RNA, 503 nt
Filed under: Carica papaya (papaya)
Lineage: Eukaryota; Viridiplantae; Streptophyta; Magnoliopsida; Brassicales; Caricaceae
Description: long non-coding RNA (CPAP_LNC002001)
Source: RNAcentral